UGAUUCUGAGCCUGAGAUCCUGAAAAUAUUUCAGUUGUUGUUAAGAGGCUGGAGUUAGGACCCAGGAAGGACACAGCAGUGGGGAUAUAAAUAGAGAAGGAGAACAGAACAAGGUUUGAGGAGAGAGACUUACAUCACUCACUCCCUCUCCACCCAGAGAGCAGGACGGAGGUGUGAACUUGAGCCAGACCAGAAGGAGCUCCAGAGUGGCCGCAGGACAAGUCCGAGGAGCAGGCGGGUGCUCCAGGGAAAAACCACACACAAAACCUUCUUCGGAGAAAAGGGAAGCAGCAAACCUGACUGAGACAAACGGAGGCUUUUGAAAUAAAAAGAAAACACCGCAGGACGAACAGCCUCCCGUCCCAGGCGCAGGUCGCAGUCACAGUGGUGACCUGGGAUUGCUUUCCCGGGACUGUGAGUCGGGUUUGGGUUUCUCCUCCCUGCAUUCCACAGCUGCUCUGGUCAUCGCAGCGUGUUUAUUGAUCACUGAAGAAUCUCAAGUUUUGAGACAAGGAAGAAACACCCAUUAGAUCUCCAAAACAGCUGCGUUUCACAAACUUUAAGGAGACAGAACUUUUUUUUUUCUCCCUGGAACCUGUGAAAAUGUCCCUUUUCCAAGGAAGUGAAGGUUAAGAGGUCCCGUUCUCACAGACCCUCAGGAAUUUCACUUGGCUCUGAGCUUUGACCUCCCAGAAAGCCAUGGCAAAGCUGCUGCGGCUGUGCUGCUGGUACUCCCGCCUGCUGCUAUUUUAUUACAACUUUCAGGUAAUGUCCCCAAGUGGCCAGGAUGGAGACGGGCUCGGUUUCUCCGGAGGCUUUCCCUGAGCGUCUCUCACACUGUGGUCUUUUGUGUGCAGGUGCGUGGCGUCUACUCCAGAUCGCAGGACCAUCCAGGAUUUCAGGUCUUGGCGUCUGCUUCCCAUUACUGGCCACUGGAGAAUGUGGAUGGGAUCCAUGAACUUCAGGAUACAACUGGAGCGUCCCGAACCCACCAGCUCACUGUGCUUCCUUCCCGUAAUGCUACCUUUGUGUAUUCCAAUGACUCUGCCUACUCAAAUCUCUCUGCAACCGUAGAUAUUGUGGAAGGGAAGGUCAACAAAGGCAUUUACCUGAAAGAGGAAAAGGGAGUCACGCUUCUCUAUUAUGGCAGGUACAACAGCUCCUGCAUUAGCAAGCCAGAGCAGUGUGGCCCUGAAGGUGAGUAGCUGAUCCCUGCGGCGUCUUUGUCAUGCAUUUCAUUAUCAGGGAGCACCUGCUCCUC
This 1261-nucleotide long non-coding RNA is filed under the name Rhinopithecus bieti (black snub-nosed monkey). RNAcentral's name for it is "lncRNA (ENSRBIG00000046138.1)". The record is from RNAcentral. Lineage: Eukaryota; Metazoa; Chordata; Mammalia; Primates; Cercopithecidae.